GAAGAGUGUUUGGCGAAAGUAUUUAUGAAGCAGUGCAAGUCCCCCAAGUUAAAUAUUGGACUAAGCCCUCACAUUUCACACAGCGAACUAAAAUUCGAGUACUUACACAAUCUUGAAGCCAUCCCAAAAUGUCAUCUGUUUGCCUUACAUAUCGACUUAAGAUAUUUGCUCAAAUCUGUUGUAAACAGCAUCCUCCCCUCCAUUUUUUGACGUUGAUAUGCUAGAGACAAACUUAUACAUGUUUUUAGGUUUGCUUCCUGAUGGGAUAAUUUCAUUUAGCUUCCAUUCAUGGUAUGCCAUAUAAAGCAGAAAUGGUUUCCCUAAUUUUAGUCUAAUUCAGGUCGAUAUGUUUGUCAGAAACAUAUCAGGGGUGCAUGAUUGCCUUAUCCAAAUUUAAUACGUUCAAUUGCUGGCUUAGUGAUAGUUCUAUUGUAAAAUCAACCUUUUCCUUGUGGCCACAAGUGAUCUGUAGAGUGAUACAUUGAAUUAGAAGAACUAAUAGAAUUAUUUUCAGUUUUUUCUUCUCAAAGAUCUGAGUUUUCUUUUUCUGUGUGUGCAUGUGUGUUGAGACAGGGUCUCCCUAUGUAGCCCAGGCUGGUCUUGAACUCUGAGUGAUCCUCCUGCUUCAUCCUCCUCAGUGAUGGGAUUGCAAUUGUGCACCACUACACUUGGGUAUAAUUGUGUGUAAAUAUGAAAAGAAUCACGUAUCAUUACAGCUGAGGCAUUGGUUUGAGGAGAAAAACUUACAUGAAUAUAAUUUUAACAAGCAAAAAAAUGUUUUUUGUUCAUAGGCCAGACAUGGUUCUAUGCUGUGGGAACUGCAGUAGUGAAUGACAGUGAACAAAGCAGUAGUUCAGUAUUCAUUCAUGGAGUUUAUUUUAGUAAUAGGUUCUGGGUGCACAAUGUAAGUUAAACAUAGUAUGUCAUAUGAUACUGAGUGCUCUCAUUACUGAUGCGAGAAACAGUAAAUUUUGUGUUAGGAAAUAUUAUGGUUUUUAGUUAGCUGUGUGAAACGUGAGGGCUUAGGUACUGCAUACUUAACAGUUUGGGGUGAAAUGUACUGAUGUUUGUAUGUAUAUUUUUAAACAAAAUGCUACCAAUGCUAUGUAUGUAGCUGAUGUUUAAGGCUGGCCUUGAACUCUCGGUGAUCCUCUUGCCUCAGCCUCCUGAGUGACAGGAUCUAAUCUAUAUUUAAAAAUGAUCUAUCUGGAUGCUUGAUGGAAAAUGUGAUAGGACCAGAGUAGGAGUGAGGAGAUCACAUAGGAGGCUACAAAAAUAGUUGGGAUGAAAUGGCUUGGACCAAUGUGCUGGUGGUAGAGGUUGGAAAAAGUGUUUGGACCCUGCAUAUAUUUUGAAAGGAAGGCUUUAGACUUUUUUCCAUGAACUAGUAAUGUUUAGGAUCUGAGAAAGAAAAUUUGUGGAUGAUUCCUAUGAUUUUAACUAUGGAAAUUGGGAUAGAGAAACCACAUUGGUAAAUUGGGAAGAAUGUAAGGAACAACUUUUUGAAGGGAAUUACAGGUCUAGUUUUGAAUAUUCAAGGAGAGAACAAUGUGAAAUUGGUAGUUGGAUAUAUGAGUCAGGAGUUUAGGGAAAAAGAGUGGGAACAUAAUUGAAUGUAACUGCCGUGAGAAUAGAAAAGCCACAAGAUCCAAAGAAAUCUUUUGGGAAAGAAGCUUGAAAAUGAAGAGAAGCAGUUCAAGGAUGGAGCCCCAGGUCAGAGAAAUGAGGAAUAUUUACUAGGUACCCAUGGUGUAUAGAUUAAUAACUUUGGUUUUAGAAGGGCUUUGUCCAGUUUUCAUCCUUUCUCCUGUUAUUCUCAGCACAGAAUACAUUUUAUUCCUAUGUGGAAAAAUGCCCUCACCAGCAGGGUAUGCAAUAACUCUGGAAACCUCACCCAAGCAAUGUCUUAAAAUUAGAGCGAUGGGGCAAUCCCUGUGGGGAUACAGUGAUCCUGGACAUAUAGGACACUCUCUCUGAAAUGCACCCCUUCUCCCCACAUGAUUAGCAAACAGUUUCAGUGUGUUUUCAGGCCUCCUGAAGUCUACGAUAGUACUCAGUGUAAGAGUUCUGUAUCUGAUGCUGCCUUCUUCCAAACCAUCACAGAAGCUUGUAUUACACAGGAGGAACCAGGGAAGGCCACAGACCCUGCACGGCAGCCUUGCUGUGGGUGUGAUUGGGGAGGCAGCGGGUGUUGGGGACCCUGCUGGGGCUGUCACCCAACUCGCUCCUUAGGGAGAGACUCUACAGGCAGCAUGUGCAGCUCAGAGGUCAGCCAUGACAAGUGAGCUUUCUCCUGGACAAAGGACAACAGCUGCACAGACACUGCCACGGCGUGGAAACCAGAUGAAGCUCAGGACAUGAGAAGUACACUUCACCAAGAGCAUAAACAGGAACAGAGAGGCAGCAAUUUGUUAAUUUGACUGAUCCUAAAGGUCUUCACAGAUGAGCCCUGAGAAUGAAAAUCUGACGCUGUUGAACUGCCAUCUCCUUGUUGCUAUGGAGAUAGGUCUACCUGUUGAUAAUAUGGAAAAUUAAGUCACCCCACAGAUUUUUUCCCCUUGAGCCCCAGUCUCAGACUGUGCUACCUGUUGGCAAGCCCUUGAGACAGCCCAAUUAACAUUCACUUGUAACUUCAAAGGAAUUUUGGAAUUUUGGAAAUCACCUCUGCAAAAAAGAGGUCCUGUCAUCAUCCUGAAUUUGGUGAACUGCAACAUUUACCCUUUCAGUUGGAGCCAUUUUUGUCUUUCCUUUCACACUGGACAUCCAAUCUAUCUGUCAUAAUAACUCAGUUCUGAAACUACAAGUCGUUUCUUAUUCCCAUUGGCCUUGUUCACUUUUAUUAGUACCGUGUCCUGGUCACCUGGUUCUCCCUUUGCUUUCUUUCAUACAGCAGCCAGACAGACUACAACCAAGGGCAAGUGAGAUCAGGUCACCUUUCUGCUGGAAACCCCUAGUAAUGCUCAUUGCACUCCAGGUGAAAGACGGAGUGUUUUCCGUGGCCCAGAAGGCCUUGCUUUUAGGUCUUUGUUAGCUAUUAGGCCUCAAAUCCCAGUACUUUUCCUCUCCUUCCAAACCUAGCUUCACCAACUCCUGGGACCUUCCCUCACCCAGGGUCUCUGUUCUGAUACACAUCUGUUCUGACUGUUCCUUCUGCCUGGGCCUCACCUCUUCUGGACUUCUGCAGGCCUUGCUCCCUCUCUCAGGUAUAUUGGAGAGUCAACACACGCCCUGCAGAGAAGCACCGCAGGAAGGAAGGGUGACAUAGGAUGUCCAAAGAGCAUGUAAUUCAGCAACCAUCUACCGGUGCUCCAGGUUCCACAAUCAACCAAUCAGGCUCGAGGGCUUCCUGCAGGUUCCCG
This is a non-coding RNA of Heterocephalus glaber (naked mole-rat), 3359 nucleotides long. Lineage: Eukaryota; Metazoa; Chordata; Mammalia; Rodentia; Bathyergidae. The record is from RefSeq and is a predicted model, not a curated record.